RNAcentral lists this ribosomal RNA (253 nucleotides) under uncultured bacterium. RNAcentral describes it as "partial 16S ribosomal RNA". It matches the Rfam family "Bacterial small subunit ribosomal RNA", at positions 524 to 776 of the family's 1533-position model. The record is from RNAcentral.
UACGGAGGGUGCAAGCGUUGCUCGGAAUUAUUGGGCGUAAAGGGUAGGUAGGUGGUCUCAUUUGUCUGGGGUGAAAGCCUUGGGCUUAACUCAAGAAGUGCCCCAGAAACGGUGAGACUAGAGUCCUAGAGAGGGUCGUGGAAUUCCCGGUGUAGCGGUGAAAUGCGUAGAGAUCGGGAGGAACACCAGAGGCGAAGGCGGCGACCUGGAUAGGUACUGACACUCAACUACGAAAGCGUGGGGAGCAAACAGG